AUAGGAUGCUCAGCACCUGGGU
Molecule: unclassified non-coding RNA, 22 nt
Filed under: Mus musculus (house mouse)
Lineage: Eukaryota; Metazoa; Chordata; Mammalia; Rodentia; Muridae
Description: oocyte_clustered_small_RNA11582
Source: RNAcentral